GAUGAACGCUGGCGGCGUGCCUAAUACAUGCAAGUCGAGCGAACGGACGAGAAGCUUGCUUCUCUGAUGUUAGCGGCGGACGGGUGAGUAACACGUGGAUAACCUACCUAUAAGACUGGGAUAACUUCGGGAAACCGGAGCUAAUGCCGGAUAAUAUUUUGAACCGCAUGGUUCAAAAGUGAAAGACGGUCUUGCUGUCACUUAUAGAUGGAUCCGCGCUGCAUUAGCUAGUUGGUAAGGUAACGGCUUACCAAGGCAACGAUGCAUAGCCGACCUGAGAGGGUGAUCGGCCACACUGGAACUGAGACACGGUCCAGACUCCUACGGGAGGCAGCAGUAGGGAAUCUUCCGCAAUGGGCGAAAGCCUGACGGAGCAACGCCGCGCGAGUGAUGAAGGUCUUCGGAUCGUAAAACUCUGUUAUUAGGGAAGAACAUAUGUGUAAGUAACUGUGCACAUCUUGACGGUACCUAAUCAGAAAGCCACGGCUAACUACGUG
This 497-nucleotide ribosomal RNA is filed under the name uncultured bacterium. RNAcentral describes it as "partial 16S ribosomal RNA". It matches the Rfam family "Bacterial small subunit ribosomal RNA", at positions 28 to 507 of the family's 1533-position model. The record is from RNAcentral.